GACAGAGGGUGCAAACGUUGUUCGGAAUUACUGGGCGUAAAGGGCGCGUAGGCGGCUUUGCAAGUGACGGGUGAAAUCCCUCGGCUUAACCGAGGAACUGCCUGUCAGACUGCAUGGCUUGAGACCGGGAGAGGUGAGUGGAAUUCCCAGUGUAGCGGUGAAAUGCGUAGAUAUUGGGAGGAACACCAGUGGCGAAGGCGGCUCACUGGACCGGUACUGACGCUGAGGCGCGAAAGCGUGGGGAGCAAACAGG
This 253-nucleotide ribosomal RNA is filed under the name uncultured bacterium. Its description in RNAcentral is "partial 16S ribosomal RNA". It matches the Rfam family "Bacterial small subunit ribosomal RNA", at positions 524 to 776 of the family's 1533-position model. The record is from RNAcentral.